UACAGAGGGUGCGAGCGUUAAUCGGAAUUACUGGGCGUAAAGGGUGCGCAGGUGGCCGUGCGCGUGGGGAGUGAAAUCGCCUGGCUUAACUGGGCGGGGGCUUUCCAGACGGCGCGGCUUGAGCCACAGAGGGGGGCGUGGAAUUCCGGGUGGAGCGGUGAAAUGCGUAGAGAUCCGGAGGAACACCAAAGGCGAAGGCAGUGUCCUGGGGAGUACCUGACGCUCAGGUGCGAAAGCCAGGGGAGCGAACGGG
RNAcentral lists this ribosomal RNA (253 nucleotides) under uncultured bacterium. RNAcentral describes it as "partial 16S ribosomal RNA". It matches the Rfam family "Bacterial small subunit ribosomal RNA", at positions 524 to 776 of the family's 1533-position model. The record is from RNAcentral.